This 263-nucleotide ribosomal RNA is filed under the name Listeria monocytogenes. Its description in RNAcentral is "partial 16S ribosomal RNA". It matches the Rfam family "Bacterial small subunit ribosomal RNA", at positions 1 to 252 of the family's 1533-position model. Lineage: Bacteria; Bacillati; Bacillota; Bacilli; Caryophanales; Listeriaceae. The record is from RNAcentral.
UUUAAAGAGAGUUUGAUCCUGGCUCAGGACGAACGCUGGCGGCGUGCCUAAUACAUGCAAGUCGAACGAACGGAGGAAGAGCUUGCUCUUCCAAUGUUAGUGGCGGACGGGUGAGUAACACGUGGGCAACCUGCCUGUAAGUUGGGGAUAACUCCGGGAAACCGGGGCUAAUACCGAAUGAUAAAGUGUGGCGCAUGCCACGCUUUUGAAAGAUGGUUUCGGCUAUCGCUUACAGAUGGGCCCGCGGUGCAUUAGCUAGUUGG